Molecule: ribosomal RNA, 972 nt
Filed under: Triticum aestivum (bread wheat)
Lineage: Eukaryota; Viridiplantae; Streptophyta; Magnoliopsida; Poales; Poaceae
Description: partial small subunit ribosomal RNA
Source: RNAcentral
AUGGACGAAACCCUAGCCGCCGAAGCCGGUGCCGCCGCCGCGACGGAGGUGAAGGCGGUCCCGGAGCGGGAGCCGGAGACGCUUGAGGAGGUCAUCUCGAGGCAUAGGAAGGAGAAAUCCAAACUCCAGGAUAAGGAAACAAGUCUGAAGAAAGCAGCUGCCAAAGGCAGCAAAGCUGAGCAGAAGGCCAAGAAAAAGCAGGUCGAGGAAGAGAUAUCGCGCCUCUCAGCUGCAUUAGAGGCGAAACAUGCUGCAGAGCUUGCUUCUUUUGGGUACAAACCUGCAGAAAGCUCUGAAAAGGGGAACCUCGACACCUUAGUGAAGGCCAUAGCUGGCGUUUCUGUUUCUAGCAAUGCAGAUUCUGCGAAGCCGGGGAAGGCUGCAAAACGGCGAGAGAAGAAGGCAAAGGAAGAAGCUGCUCGAGAGCAGCGAAUUCAAGAAGAACAAACCAAUAUUGUCAGUGAUCGCAUGUUAGAAGACGAGAAACUUGGAAGGAGGCUUGAGCCCUUGGGGCUGACCAUUCAUGAGAUAAAGCCAGACGGCCAUUGCUUGUACCGUGCUAUCGAGAACCAGCUGUCACUCCAUUCCAAGGGCACUACACAGUACAAUCACCAGGAGCUGCGGCAAAUGACAGCCAAGUAUAUGAGAGAGCAUGCCGCAGAUUUCCUCCCAUUUUUCCUAUCGGAGGGCAAAGCCGAGUCUGGGCCAGACCCCUCGGAGAGUUUCGAAAAGUACUGCGAGGAGAUGGAGUCCACCGCUGCUUGGGGCGGGCAACUCGAGCUUGGUGCUCUGACGCACUGCCUAAAGAAGCACAUUGUCAUAUACUCUGGCUCCUUUCCAGAUGUAGAAAUGGGCAAAGAAUACAACAAGUCAGGACCAGGAGGUGACCCUAGCAUCAGGCUUUCCUACCACAGGCAUGCCUAUGGCCUCGGCGAGCACUACAACUCAGUGAUCCCCACUGAGUUAUCUUGA